GUCGAGCGAAUGGAUUAAGAGCUUGCUCUUAUGAAGUUAGCGGCUCUUUGGGUGAGUAACACGUGGGUAACCUGCCCAUAAGACUGGCAUAACUCCGGGAAACCGGGGCUAAUACCGGAUAACAUUUUGAACCGCAUGGUUCGAAAUUGAAAGGCGGCUUCGGCUGUCACUUAUGGAUGGACCCGCGUCGCAUUAGCUAGUUGGUGAGGUAACGGCUCACCAAGGCAACGAUGCGUAGCCGACCUGAGAGGGUGAUCGGCCACACUGGGACUGAGACACGGCCCAGACUCCUACGGGAGGCAGCAGUAGGGAAUCUUCCGCAAUGGACGAAAGUCUGACGGAGCAACGCCGCGUGAGUGAUGAAGGCUUUCGGGUCGUAAAACUCUGUUGUUAGGGAAGAACAAGUGCUAGUUGAAUAAGCUGGCACCUUGACGGUACCUAACCAGAAAGCCACGGCUAACUACGUGCCAGCAGCCGCGGUAAUACGUAGGUGGCAAGCGUUAUCCGGAAUUAUUGGGCGUAAAGCGCGCGCAGGUGGUUUCUUAAGUCUGAUGUGAAAGCCCACGGCUCAACCGUGGAGGGUCAUUGGAAACUGGGAGACUUGAGUGCAGAAGAGGAAAGUGGAAUUCCAUGUGUAGCGGUGAAAUGCGUAGAGAUAUGGAGGAACACCAGUGGCGAAGGCGACUUUCUGGUCUGUAACUGACACUGAGGCGCGAAAGCGUGGGGAAAGAACAGGAUUAGAUACCCUGGUAGUCCACGCCGUAAACUAAAAGGGCUAAGUGUUAGAGGGUUUCCGCCC
This 799-nucleotide ribosomal RNA is filed under the name Bacillus amyloliquefaciens. Its description in RNAcentral is "bacterial SSU rRNA". It matches the Rfam family "Bacterial small subunit ribosomal RNA", at positions 61 to 838 of the family's 1533-position model. Lineage: Bacteria; Bacillati; Bacillota; Bacilli; Caryophanales; Bacillaceae. The record is from RNAcentral.